This 106-nucleotide non-coding RNA is filed under the name Macrococcoides caseolyticum. RNAcentral's name for it is "Macrococcus caseolyticus SAM-I sequence". It matches the Rfam family "SAM riboswitch aptamer (S box leader)". Rfam says of the family: The SAM riboswitch is found upstream of a number of genes which code for proteins involved in methionine or cysteine biosynthesis in Gram-positive bacteria. The record is from RNAcentral. RNAcentral also lists the same sequence under 1 other name. Lineage: Bacteria; Bacillati; Bacillota; Bacilli; Caryophanales; Staphylococcaceae.
AUUUUAUCAAGAGAGACAGAGGGAUAUGGCCCGACGAAGUCUCAGCAGCGGACUCUUUAUAGAGCACUGUGCUAAUUCCAUCAAGCUUUAGCUUGGCAGAUAAAUG